This 216-nucleotide ribosomal RNA is filed under the name uncultured fungus. RNAcentral describes it as "partial small subunit ribosomal RNA". The stretch from base 38 to 216 matches the Rfam family "Eukaryotic small subunit ribosomal RNA", at positions 684 to 864 of the family's 1831-position model. Lineage: Eukaryota; Fungi. The record is from RNAcentral.
GGAUCAGUUCGCUGGUCGUGCCUCUGGUAUGUACUGGUGUUACUGGUUCCUCCCUUCUGACGAACUGUCAUGUCAUUUAUUUGGUGUGGCAGGGAAUCAGGACUGUUACUUUGAAAAAAUUAGAGUGUUCAAAGCAGGCGUUUCGCUUUCAUACUCCAGCAUGGAAUAAUAAAACAGGACUUUGGUCGUGUUUUGUUGGUUUUAAGGACCGAAGUA